This is a long non-coding RNA of Acanthochromis polyacanthus (spiny chromis), 2207 nucleotides long. RefSeq lists it as uncharacterized. The transcript has 4 exons. NCBI's taxonomy places the organism in Eukaryota, Metazoa, Chordata, Actinopteri, Pomacentridae. The record is from RefSeq and is a predicted model, not a curated record.
CGGAGUGGGAUAAUAGCAAAAACAUAACAGCAGAAAAAGAAAAACAGAAGAAAAAACAAGUAGUAUUUUUAUUCAUUUACAUUUCUAUGAAUAGGCGCUGAAAUCCUCCAAAAUAAUCCCAUGAAAUGCAAUUUAUUUAUUUUUUCUACGUUGCAUUAUAAGUGAGAAAAGCUCAGUUUAAAUAAACGCGUUUUCUGAUUUUGUGUCAAAUUUAUUUCACCUAAAUUUACUUUUCAAACAGCCUGGAGGUCGAGGUUCAAUUAACAAGGCCAAAGUUAGGAAAGUUCCUGCACUGUCCUGGACAUGCAAUCAAGCAGCACAGAAAACAAAAGCAAGAUUUAAAAAAUAUAUAUUAAUUUAUGCAGGGGAAAUAAAAAGAAAGCUGAGUGUGUAUUGUUGUUAAGCUCUGCCAUUUUUAUUCCCCCCGCAAAACUCCACAUCGAAAGUCAUCGAGGAUGGAAUAAAAGUAACAAAAAUGAAAACACAAACAGGCCUGCAGAAAAUCCUCUUAAAUCUUUUCAAAAAUGAAUUCUGGAUAAAGGCUGAUCCACGUGAAGAGGCCGCAGAAAGCAACCAUGCAGGAGAGGGAGGGGGAAAGGCAGAAAUUACAAUAAUAAAGGAAAUAAAUUCAGAAAUCAACCCAUCGAUAAUAAACAAAUGCCAAACAAUAAACACGGUCCAUUUCCAACAACAAGCUGCUCGAGUACACAAACACUGAAUACAUGAAUUUUUCCGUGUGACGCGAGCAGCAGUCCACUAAAGCAGCAGUAUGGGCGCUUUGGAGACACAUUAUUGAUUGGCAUUCCCUCGAGGAGGAACCAGUCUGCAGCAGUCCGGUGCCGGUGGCCACGGGACAAAACUAAUUUGGCCCGGAGAGCUUCUUGAGAACUCAGCAAGGAAUCGAAUGCAAGAGGAAAAAAGAAAACCCCAACGCAUGAAAAUAUUGCUCUUUCUUUCCUCACAAAAAAAAAAUUCACAUCUCGGCGUCUCCGUUUGCAGGCGAGUAAAGAAAAAGAGUGCUCCCUGCUCGCUGUGAAGCAGAGCAGUGCCACAGCGCCCACUAUUUCAAAAGCCGGAAUAUUAUUUCACAAGACUUGGAACGGCUCUAUAUUUAAAAAAAGUUGCUAUCCAUUUCGAAAACUUUCUUACUACCUUCAGGAAAAGGAAUCCUGCGUCUCCACUGUAACGACCCACCGACAAGCGCAAAAAGCUGCAAAAUACAACGUUUUUUCCCUCGCUUUUGGACGGCGUUGUUAUCACAGGAGCAACUAAAAGCACCAGCGGCGUUUCUCAUCACACAUGAAACUUUUCUUGACACUGGAAACCAGCGACGCUAAGAACCGCAGCAUGCAAGACACACACGGGGAGAGAGAGAGGGGGAAACCGAGGCACAGCAGCGGCAAGCAGGACGCGUUUUCUGGCUGAAAAGUUGACAAAGAGUCGCCCCAUCCUCUCUUAAGGAUAUGGCAUAUGUGUGACAAGGACGCAUUGGACAUCUACAAACGGAGCCGGGAGUUUGGAGCCCCGGCGGCGGCAGAAAGCGAUCAGUAAGAGAGGUUUGGGGAAAAAAUAUAAGACCUACUUUUGGCCAGUUUUCUCGCCCUCGCCUUGGAUCUCAUCUUGUCGGCUUGUAGAUUCCUCUCGUCGUCCUCCGUGAGCCCAGAAGCAGCAACAACACUAUCUUCAUCUCACCAGCAUUAGCUUGCCAGCAGCCUCUUGGAUUUUUUUUUUUUACCCCUUUAACAGCGACUACUUGGUUUUCUCCAACACAGCGGUGGACGCACUGAGGCGGGAGGAGACUUUACGGUAAACCGGUACAUCCAGAGCUUCGGUGCGUAGCUUGAAGGACGACGAGAAUCCCUGGUGGUAGCUGCUCGUUAUUCCUGCGGUGCCUGGGCCUUUAGCCUACAUGUCAUGUGGGAAUGGUUCCGUCUAGUUUAGCUGAAUAAAGGCGGCUCUAUGUUGGAGCCUAUUAACAUUGGUGGUGAUGGAGCGACUGCAGUCUGCUGGGAGAGGGGAGGGAUCAGUUCCCUGGACGCGAUCACAGUGCAAAUCCAUGCACAGACUAUUAUUAUUAUUAUUAUUUCUUUUGUUAUUAUUUUGCACGUCACUCCCAUAAUAACUCCGCCUGACAUCUACUUUGUUGCUCAUUCUAAUGCACAUGAUGAAGAACAAAUUGAUUUGAAUAAAGACUUGAGCUCAUCAAA